This 262-nucleotide unclassified non-coding RNA is filed under the name Hevea brasiliensis (rubber tree). Lineage: Eukaryota; Viridiplantae; Streptophyta; Magnoliopsida; Malpighiales; Euphorbiaceae. The record is from RNAcentral.
GGCUUACGUGGCUUGUACAGAGGGAUAAUGCCUGAGUACUACAAAGUAGUUCCCAGUGUGGGAAUUGUGUUCAUGACGUACGAGACACUGAAAAAGCUUCUAUCUCAAGGGCCUUUUGAUUCUUGACUUAUUCAGUAGUGCACUCUUCCAGUUUUUCUGAUUUUUUUAAAAAAGCCACAAGGUUCAGUUUUGUUAAAGUUACCGGUUAGGAAGAAGCCUAAAGUAUUGAUAUGGUAAUUAGUAUUAAACGAGAGAACAUUGA